UUGACCUCGGAUCAGGUAGGAAUACCCGCUGAACUUAAGCAUAUCAAUAAGCGGAGGAAAAGAAACCAACAGGGAUUGCCCUAGUAACGGCGAGUGAAGCGGCAACAGCUCAAAUUUGAAAUCUGGCUUUCGGGUCCGAGUUGUAAUUUGUAGAGGAUGCUUUUGGUUAGGUACCUUCCGAGUUCCUUGGAACAGGACGCCUUAGAGGGUGAGAGCCCCGUACGGUUGGAUGCCGAGCCUCUGUAAAGCUCCUUCGACGAGUCGAGUAGUUUGGGAAUGCUGCUCUAAAUGGGAGGUAAAUUUCUUCUAAAGCUAAAUACCGGCCAGAGACCGAUAGCGCACAAGUAGAGUGAUCGAAAGAUGAAAAGCACUUUGAAAAGAGGGUUAAAUAGUACGUGAAAUUGUUGAAAGGGAAGGGCUUGUGACCAGACCUUUGCCUUGCGGAUCAUCCGGUGUUCUCACCGGUGCACUCCGCUUGGUUGAGGCCAGCAUCAGUUCUGGCGGCGGGAUAAAGACUUCAGGAAUGUGACUCCCCCGGGAGUGUUAUAGCCUGUUGUGUAAUACCGCCACUGGGACUGAGGACCGCGCUUCGGCUAGGAUGCUGGCA
RNAcentral lists this ribosomal RNA (607 nucleotides) under Microdochium sorghi. RNAcentral describes it as "eukaryotic LSU rRNA". It matches the Rfam family "Eukaryotic large subunit ribosomal RNA", at positions 1 to 631 of the family's 3401-position model. Lineage: Eukaryota; Fungi; Ascomycota; Sordariomycetes; Xylariales; Microdochiaceae. The record is from RNAcentral.